CUCGGCCCUGAGAGGAUAAGCUGUUUCUGUGAAGGGCAGGUUCAUCUGCUGCCAGCCCASAGUCAGGCCACCUUAAGCUCCUGCCCUGUCUGAGACUGUGGCUGACAUGUCUCCCCAGGUGAAUAUAAAAAUACCCAAGGGACGGASCUUCAGCAGCGGUUGCUUUUCAUCCUUGAAGUUCACGGGCUGAAACAAGUUAGUAGCCUUUGCAGCCUCUCACGAACCGCCUGGAGAGGAAAGAGAACGCGGGUGUCUUAUCUUCCAUUGAGCUGCAUCUGAUGAAGGUUGCUGACAGCAUAAUGGCUGGGAAAACGUCGGACAGCUCCAUAAAAUGGCAGCUAUGUUAUGAUAUGUCAGCCAGGACCUGGUGGAUGAGUACAAUUUUUACAAGUGAUAUAAACUGUGCACUGACAGGUUUUCUGUAUGGUUGCCAUCUCUCUCAUUGGACAUUGGUAUUGUAAAUAUACAUGGGUGCAACUGACUCUUAAAACAAAUCRCAGAUAUUUGGGGAAAGACGUUGCAAAAUGUUUGUGUAUAAGAUUUGCCUUGUGGACUWUACCAAGUUUUGAAAGUGU
RNAcentral lists this long non-coding RNA (575 nucleotides) under Urocitellus parryii (Arctic ground squirrel). Its description in RNAcentral is "lncRNA (ENSUPAG00010019426.1)". Lineage: Eukaryota; Metazoa; Chordata; Mammalia; Rodentia; Sciuridae. The record is from RNAcentral.